AUAAAGAUAAUGCAAAAUGACGUCAAAAUAGCCACCAGGAAAAGUUAACUCUUUCCUGGAUAGGUAUGUUUAGUGGGACAAGACUGCCCUCUAUAGACCAAAUAACUAAAUUGCGAUCUGGAAGAUAACCACACCUCUAGUACUUCUAUUGGGUUAUCAACUGAUGACGUACAGAGAGUCUGGCCCUUUAAAAGUUAAGACAAAGGGAAGAUAGAGAGACAAGACGAAGGAGGCAGAUGCAAGAUAUGAAAAGGAGAGAAAAGAGAGGAAUUGGAAGUUUGGGGACUCCAACCUCCAUGCAGAGACACAUCCAAAUAAAUUCCUGAGACUACCAAUCG
Pelobates cultripes (western spadefoot toad) is the source of this 338-nucleotide non-coding RNA. Lineage: Eukaryota; Metazoa; Chordata; Amphibia; Anura; Pelobatidae. The record is from the annotation of a GenBank genome assembly.